GCAACCAAAGAGGAAGAAGGUUCUGGUGGACUACCUGCUACGGUUUGCUUCAGCUCGUGCGGUUAGGAGGUGGAUGCCCGCACGGAUCCGGUGUCUCCGACCUUGGCAUCCACAAGGAGGAGCGGCGACAAUUACAUACCCAACCAUGGGGCAGCAGCAAUUCAUGGUUGAGCCUCCCUCUACCUCUCUCAUGUUCCCUGAUUUUGCUGCUGCUCUAAAUUCACUUUCACUUGACUGAAUCUAGUGCUACUGCUGUCAGUCCCUAGUCCGUAGUGCUACUGCUCUAAAUUCACUUGCAUGUUUGACUAAAUUCACUUGGUAUUGCACUGCUUGCCAAAUUGAGUUGCUUUCUCGCUGCCAGAAAAAGUCAGUACUCCCUAGUGUUGAAGCAAUAUUUACAUGCUUGCAAAUAUUGGUCUGAAUCUACGAUGCUCCCUAAAUUUGACUAAAUCUCAUGGAGUAGAUUUCAUUUUACCAAUUGGUCUGAAUCUAUUUAUACGCUUUACUGAAUUUUGCUUGGUGCUGUCGCCGUCGGACUCUCAUGCUGAAUCAGUUGGACAAUGCAUUCUUUGCCAGUUCAUUUUACCAAUUCAUGCUGAAUUGUUGUUUAGUUGUAAUUCCUUUUAGUGUGCCAUGCACAAGUGAUAUUCAUGUCCAGCCAAAUGAUAUCUUGUGCUUUCCAAAGUGAUAUGUACCCAACUGCUUAUAUACGUAUUAUGUUCUUAACUGUAGAUUUCCUCUCACAGUAGCUCCAUGCAAAAGAAGGUUGAAAGGAGAAGGAGAGUUUGUGACUGCUAUGGAAGGACUGAAGGAGGUCCAUGUUGAAGAAGGUCGACAGAAGCAGUAGAGCUUGUAAUACUGUCAUUGCCAUUGUAUUUGUGUUGUAUGAUGUAUCCGCGUUUACCCACAAAAAAAUGUAUUCACGUUGUAAUACUGUGAUUGCCAUUCUGGCUAAUAUUUCAAGCAGUGUAUUUUGC
This 977-nucleotide long non-coding RNA is filed under the name Triticum aestivum (bread wheat). RNAcentral's name for it is "long non-coding RNA (TAES_LNC016886)". The record is from RNAcentral. Lineage: Eukaryota; Viridiplantae; Streptophyta; Magnoliopsida; Poales; Poaceae.